This 326-nucleotide ribosomal RNA is filed under the name uncultured eukaryote. RNAcentral's name for it is "partial 18S ribosomal RNA". It matches the Rfam family "Eukaryotic small subunit ribosomal RNA", at positions 1470 to 1796 of the family's 1831-position model. The record is from RNAcentral.
CCCUUAGAUGUUCUGGGCCGCACGCGCGCUACACUGAUGCAUUCAACGAGCCUAGCCUUGACCGAGAGGUCCGGGUAAUCUUUGAAACUGCAUCGUGAUGGGGCUAGAUUAUUGCAAUUAUUAAUCUUCAACGAGGAAUGCCUAGUAAGCGCGAUUCAUCAAAUCGCGUUGAUUACGUCCCUGCCCUUUGUACACACCGCCCGUCGCUCCUACCGAUUGAAUGUGUUGGUGAGGAGCUCGGAUUGGCAGCAGUUGGUGGUUCGCCACCGGCUAUUGCUGAGAAGUCCUCCAAACCGCCCCAUUUAGAGGAAGGAGAAGUCGUAACA